GAUGAACGCUAGCUACAGGCUUAACACAUGCAAGUCGAGGGGUAACGAGAGGAAAGCUUGCUUUCCUUGUUGACGACCGGCGCACGGGUGAGUAACGCGUAUCCAACCUGCCCCCAACUAGGGAAUAACCUUGCGAAAGUAAGACUAAUACCCUAUAAUUUCCUCAGAUGUCAUCUGACGAGGAAUAAAGAUUUAUCGGUAGUGGAUGGGGAUGCGUCUGAUUAGCUUGUUGGCGGGGUAACGGCCCACCAAGACAACGAUCAGUAGGGGUUCUGAGAGGAAGGUCCCCCACAUUGGAACUGAGACACGGUCCAAACUCCUACGGGAGGCAGCAGUGAGGAAUAUUGGUCAAUGGGCGGAAGCCCGAACCAGCCAAGUAGCGUGCAGGAUGACGGCCCUAUGGGUUGUAAACUGCUUUUAUACAGGAAUAAAGUUAGCCACGUGUGGUUAUUUGUAGGUACUGUAUGAAUAAGGACCGGCUAAUUCCGUGCCAGCCGCCGCCGUAA
This 506-nucleotide ribosomal RNA is filed under the name uncultured bacterium. Its description in RNAcentral is "partial 16S ribosomal RNA". It matches the Rfam family "Bacterial small subunit ribosomal RNA", at positions 28 to 523 of the family's 1533-position model. The record is from RNAcentral.